This is a long non-coding RNA of Manis javanica (Malayan pangolin), 1939 nucleotides long. RefSeq lists it as uncharacterized. Lineage: Eukaryota; Metazoa; Chordata; Mammalia; Pholidota; Manidae. The record is from RefSeq and is a predicted model, not a curated record.
CAACACAGAAAUGAAGACAUAGUUGAGAUCAUAAGGGGACUUUAUGGACUGUAAACAGUAAAGCAGAAUCAGCUUAGAAACUCAAGUCAGCAAGGACAAAAGUCUCCCCGUUUAGUGUCCUCAGGGGUCCGUACCAGGGGUGGUGCAGCCCAGUGGCCUGGCCAGCCUGGGCUCGGCAGGGGAGCCACGCGCCCUGUGUUCUCUCAGAGCUUCCUUGUCAUGGAUGACCCACCUGGUUUUGGAGGACCUCCCUCAAGUGCAAUUUUCCUGAAAUUUUUCUUAGGAUUAGCCCGAGGCCAUGGGCCUGGGGAGGGGACAUCAUGACCCUACCCGGCACCUCAAGGAUAUUCACACCAUGCUCCAUGACUACUGGCGUGGCCCUGGGCCACCUGGCUGCUGUGAUGCCUGUCAGCUUCCUCCAGUGUCCAGUUCGUCUGCCUUCUACCCUCUGCCAACAUGUGCCCUCUGGCAGGGAGGGGAAGGGACUGCCUGCAGCUCACACGUCGGGGUGGGGAGGUCGCCCUCUUGGGGCACGUCUACGUAGUUUACCUGGAAUCCUUCUGCCUGGGAGAUCUGUCUCCUCUCUCCUCGAUUUAUUCAAUCAACCAUGCUUAUGUCAGCAAGGAUCUAUGGAUACUUAUUCUGUACUGUGGGCUACAAUCCCAGUCUUUGUUUUCUUGCUCCAAGUGUUCCAGCUGUGGCCACUGGGGGCUCUUCCACUUGGCUGCUCUGUGCCUUCGACAUGUUCCCCAGGAAACGGAAGCUGUCGACGUCACAUGACCUGACCAGCAAUGUCACAGAGAUUCUCAGUGGUACAGUCGAUUCAAAUGGGGCCCGGCUCAGCAGCAGCAUGCAGCACCCUCACAGGGGCAGCCUCUGCAAGGACAGCGUGACCCGUGUUCGGUGUCUAAAGAUGAACAUGGAGCCCUCUUUUCAAAGUAUAUAAAUGGAAGAUCUGUGACCUUUACCGAAUUGGAGAACCUGCUGAGUGUGUCUGACCUUGGGGAAAAAGCUGCAGCCCUGGGGGUGACGCAGCCCAUGCGGGUGUACCUUGAGGUGAUUUCUUCACAAGCAGAUGAUGGCUGUGGGGUGUGGCUCAAGAAGAUGACUUGGGGUGAACCUGUACCCCCUUGGCCGGAGAGAGAGGAGUCUCCUCCCCUUGUCCUCCACCCACCUGCCCCAGAUCACAGAUGACCCGAAUCUGGCCCUGUGAUGGAGUGACUAAAACCAUGGAUAGGAAAUAGGAAAACACAGUGAUUCACCACGAAAGAAUCAAGCUGCCUACAUCCUGCAUCUAAGAAAAAUACACCAGUGACUUCUAUCUUAAGUGGCAGAAAUGCUGCUAAGCCUCGAGAAAGGAAGGCAGCUGAGAAUGAGACGCGGCCUGUGGGGGCUGCCCCUGCGGGGUCCCGGAGGCAGCAAGGGGGCCACCCCACCCUGGCUGUUGGGCUCCUUGGCACAGAGCCUGGACGGCAAGGUGGAAGCCCAUCUCCAGAACCCCAGGAGGGAAGCGGAGGACGUGCCACUGCUGUACAGAGCGAAGGACGAGACCCAGAUGUGGGCGGUCACUGUUCCAGAGCCGGAGCAGCCAGCACGUGGCUGUGACAGGACAGAACCAACCCUGCUCCAGGUCCAGGUGCCUCCCCUGGACACCUUCCUUGCACAGCGAGCCUGAGACGCGGAGGCCAGGACAGGGCAAGGAUGUGCCUGGCCGGACGGAGGGCAGACGAGCUUUCUCAUGCUGUUCGUGUUUGCUGUUCCGACAGCCGGGGGCAGGCAUUUAGGAAUGGGAACUCCUUGACAGAAAAGAAAACACUUGAAAACUGAAAGAAAAUGUUCAGAAUAUAUAUUCAGGAAAGCACAGAUCGAUGAGGCUUCUCAAGACCGCUCUGAAAGGCGCCCAACCCAGCACGCGGGCGGGGCAGCGCUUUACCUGAGG